RNAcentral lists this ribosomal RNA (253 nucleotides) under uncultured bacterium. RNAcentral describes it as "partial 16S ribosomal RNA". It matches the Rfam family "Bacterial small subunit ribosomal RNA", at positions 524 to 776 of the family's 1533-position model. The record is from RNAcentral.
UACGUAGGGUGCAAGCGUUAAUCGGAAUUACUGGGCGUAAAGCGUGCGCAGGCGGUUAUGUAAGACAGGUGUGAAAUCCCCGGGCUUAACCUGGGAACUGCAUUUGUGACUGCAUAGCUAGAGUACGGUAGAGGGGGAUGGAAUUCCGCGUGUAGCAGUGAAAUGCGUAGAGAUGUGGAGGAACACCGAUGGCGAAGGCAGCCCCCUGGGCUGACACUGACGCUCAGGCACGAAAGCGUGGGGAGCAAACAGG